AGCGAACGCUGGCGGCAGGCUUAACACAUGCAAGUCGAGCGGGCACCUUCGGGUGUCAGCGGCAGACGGGUGAGUAACACGUGGGAACGUGCCCAUCGGUUCGGAACAACUCCGGGAAACUGGAGCUAAUACCGGAUACGACCGAGAGGUGAAAGAUUUAUCGCCGAUGGAUCGGCCCGCGUCUGAUUAGCUAGUUGGUGAGGUAACGGCUCACCAAGGCGACGAUCAGAGCUGGUCUGAGAGGAUGAUCAGCCACACUGGGACUGAGACACGGCCCAGACUCCUACGGGAGGCAGCAGUGGGGAAUAUUGGACAAUGGGCGAAAGCCUGAUCCAGCCAUGCCGCGUGAGUGAUGAAGGCCUUAGGGUUGUAAAGCUCUUUC
RNAcentral lists this ribosomal RNA (382 nucleotides) under uncultured bacterium. RNAcentral's name for it is "bacterial SSU rRNA". It matches the Rfam family "Bacterial small subunit ribosomal RNA", at positions 29 to 437 of the family's 1533-position model. The record is from RNAcentral.